UACGGGGGGGGCAAGCGUUGUUCGGAAUUACUGGGCGUAAAGGGCUCGUAGGCGGCCAACUAAGUCAGACGUGAAAUCCCUCGGCUUAACCGGGGAACUGCAUCUGAUACUGGAUGGCUUGAGAUUGGGAGAGGGAUGCGGAAUUCCAGGUGUAGCGGUGAAAUGCGUAGAUAUCUGGAGGAACACCGGUGGCGAAAGCGGCUCACUGGACCAUAACUGACGCUGAGGCGCGAAAGCUAGGGGAGCAAACAGG
RNAcentral lists this ribosomal RNA (253 nucleotides) under uncultured bacterium. RNAcentral describes it as "partial 16S ribosomal RNA". It matches the Rfam family "Bacterial small subunit ribosomal RNA", at positions 524 to 776 of the family's 1533-position model. The record is from RNAcentral.